UUAGGGGACGAGAGUGAAAUGCAAGCUUGAUCUCACCUCUUGAAUACUGGUCAUUGAGCUUAACUUUUGCCCUAAAGAUGGAUGAUUGUCAGCCUUUUGUAGGACCUCAAGAAGGAUUUGAAGAAACUAGAUAUUUUUACCAGCAAAAUAAUUCACAGCACACAAAUGAUUGCACAGAAUUUCAGUGCUUUCAGAAGUCCUCUGGAAACCUUUUUGUGAACGCCAGUCUGUUGCAGGCUGGCCUGGUAGCUCUCCUACACCACUUCCCUUCCAGCGGCAACCCAGGGGCCAGGCUGCAUCCAGCUUAACACUGCCAUGUUGGAGUUGAGUGCUUUGUGUUUAAUCAGCUAGCCUUAGGAGAGAGUCAACAUGCAGAAGUCACACUUGAUUUUAACUGCUAUACCAGAAGGGACACCUCAUCUCCCCUACAUUCCAUUGGUGAGAACAUGGAAAUUUGAUGAACACUACUGGUUUUGGUCUCAGCCACUAUUUCCAUUUGUUCAAUAUCAUAUUUCUGCUCCUAUGGAUACAACGAUAGAGGCAGGAGGCAGAGAAAUUCUAGGCAGAAAGGGCGGGUCCCUGGCAAAUGCCCCACCCUCCAGCUGAAAAGCCUGAAACCGCAGCCAGAAGUGAGAACUUACAUCCCUGUUUUCCCACUUGAAUGUUGCCUUUUCCAAAACCACUCAUUGCCUGCCCUGCCCUCCAUCCUGGGCUUAUAAAAAACCUCAUACCCAGCUGACAGAGAGAGGAGAAGCAGCUGGACAUCAGAGACUAUAGCUGGAUGUCGGGGAGAAGCGGCUUGAUUCCAGAGGGACAGCUUGACCGUGUAACUUGGGAGAAGAAUCUGGUUGGAGACUCCUGGACUUCAGGAGAAGAUUACCUUCCAGCUCUGUCCCCUUUUCAGCUCCCCUUCCCACUGACAGCCAUGCCCAUCGGCAAUAAAAUUUCCCACAUUUACAAUCCUUCAAUUUGUUCAUGUGACCUCAUUCCUCCUGGACGCCACAGAAGAACUCAGGAACCACGAGUGCAGAUACAAAAGGCUGUCACACUGACCCUUUGCCCUCUCUGGCAAAAGGCAGCUGCCUCACACCAAAAGGUAGAGGGUCCACUGAGCUGUUAACACUUAAGCUGUCUGUGGACAGCAGCACUAAAAGAGCACUGUAACACUCCCUCUGGGACUUCAGGGGUCACAGGUACCCUCCCAGAUGUUGCUGUUGGGGCCUGCACAGACUUUGCUCCUGCUCACACCCAAAAGUGCUUGCCCUGGCUCCUGCACCUGCUCACCUGCAUGCGCCUUCCCACGAGGGGUGGAGCGCAGUGGCUCCAAGUGAGUGGAAUUUGCCACUGCCAGCACUGAAGUGGCUGGCUAGUUCCAGUGCCCGGGCACACAAUUUCCCACCUUAUUCGCUUGCGUGCUCCCUCCUGCGAGGAGUUGAGAACUGCAGGCUGAGGAAACAAGGCACCCCCUUUGUGAGUCCCAUGAAGGGGCCAGGGAAAUAUCCUGCUUCACUACCUCUUUGAAAGAGUGAAAU
RNAcentral lists this long non-coding RNA (1532 nucleotides) under Homo sapiens (human). Its description in RNAcentral is "HSALNT0334989". Lineage: Eukaryota; Metazoa; Chordata; Mammalia; Primates; Hominidae. The record is from RNAcentral.